Molecule: ribosomal RNA, 460 nt
Filed under: uncultured bacterium
Lineage: Bacteria
Description: partial 16S ribosomal RNA
Rfam family: Bacterial small subunit ribosomal RNA
Source: RNAcentral
CCUACGGUGGGCAGCAGUGAGGAAUAUUGGUCAAUGGACGCAAGUCUGAACCAGCCAUGCCGCGUGCAGGAAGACGGCUCUAUGAGUUGUAAACUGCUUUUGUACGAGGGUAAACGCAGAUACGCGUAUCUGUCUGAAAGUAUCGUACGAAUAAGGAUCGGCCAACUCCGUGCCAGCAGCCGCGGUUAUACGGAGGAUUCAAGCGUUAUCCGGAUUUAUUGGGUUUAAAGGGUGCGUAGGCGGUCGGAUAAGUUAGAGGUGAAAUCCCGAGGCUCAACUUCGGAAUUGCCUCUGAUACUGUUCGACUAGAGAGUAGUAGCGGUAGGCGGAAUGUAUGGUGUAGCGGUGAAAUGCGUAGAGAUCAUACAGAACACCAGUGGCGAAGGCAGCUUACCGAGCUACUUCUGACGUUGAGGCACGAAAGCGUGGGGAGCAAACAGGAUUAGAUACCCUUGUAGUC